CGGCAAGAGCUCAAAUUUGAAAUCUGGCUCUUUCAGGGUCCGAGUUGUAAUUUGUAGAAGAUGCUUUUGGUAAGGUACCGGUAUAAGUUCCUUGGAACAGGACGUCAGAGAGGGUGAGAAUCCCGUCGAAGCUGUCUACCAGACCUGUGUAAAGCUCUUUCAAC
Molecule: ribosomal RNA, 164 nt
Filed under: Helotiales sp.
Lineage: Eukaryota; Fungi; Ascomycota; Leotiomycetes; Helotiales
Description: partial large subunit ribosomal RNA
Rfam family: Eukaryotic large subunit ribosomal RNA
Source: RNAcentral